RNAcentral lists this non-coding RNA (26 nucleotides) under Mus musculus (house mouse). Lineage: Eukaryota; Metazoa; Chordata; Mammalia; Rodentia; Muridae. The record is from RNAcentral.
UCCACGCCAACAGACAGAACGAUGCA